This 471-nucleotide ribosomal RNA is filed under the name uncultured organism. RNAcentral's name for it is "partial 16S ribosomal RNA". It matches the Rfam family "Bacterial small subunit ribosomal RNA", at positions 333 to 796 of the family's 1533-position model. The record is from RNAcentral.
ACACUCCUGCGGGAGGCAGCAGUGGGGAAUUUUGGACAAUGGGCGAAAGCCUGAUCCAGCAAUGCCGCGUGAGUGAAGAAGGCCUUCGGGUUGUAAAGCUCUUUUGUCAGGGAAGAAACGGUGAAAGCUAAUAUCUUUUGCUAAUGACGGUACCUGAAGAAUAAGCACCGGCUAACUACGUGCCAGCAGCCGCGGUAAUACGUAGGGUGCAAGCGUUAAUCGGAAUUACUGGGCGUAAAGCGUGCGCAGGCGGUUUUGUAAGUCUGAUGUGAAAUCCCCGGGCUCAACCUGGGAAUUGCAUUGGAGACUGCAAGGCUAGAAUCUGGCAGAGGGGGGUAGAAUUCCACGUGUAGCAGUGAAAUGCGUAGAUAUGUGGAGGAACACCGAUGGCGAAGGCAGCCCCCUGGGUCAAGAUUGACGCUCAUGCACGAAAGCGUGGGGAGCAAACAGGAUUAGAUACCCCUGUAGUCC